RNAcentral lists this ribosomal RNA (429 nucleotides) under Bacteroidota bacterium. RNAcentral's name for it is "Bacteroidetes bacterium partial 16S ribosomal RNA". It matches the Rfam family "Bacterial small subunit ribosomal RNA", at positions 355 to 776 of the family's 1533-position model. The record is from RNAcentral. Lineage: Bacteria; Pseudomonadati; Bacteroidota.
UAGGGAAUCUUCCGCAAUGGACGCAAGUCUGACGGAGCAACGCCGCGUGAGUGAAGAAGGAUUUCGGUUCGUAAAACUCUGUUGUUAGAGAAGAACAGCGCAUAGAGUAACUGUUAUGCGUGUGACGGUAUCUAACCAGAAAGCCACGGCUAACUACGUGCCAGCAGCCGCGGUAAUACGUAGGUGGCAAGCGUUGUCCGGAUUUAUUGGGCGUAAAGCGAGCGCAGGCGGUCAAUUAAGUCUGAUGUGAAAGCCCCCGGCUCAACCGGGGAGGGUCAUUGGAAACUGGUUGAAUUGAGUGCAGAAGAGGAGGGGGGAAUUCCAUGUGGAGCGGUGAAAUGCGUAGAUAUAUGGAGGAACACCGGUGGCGAAAGCGGCUCUCUGGUCUGUAACUGACGCUGAGGCUCGAAAGCGUGGGGAGCGAACAGG